Molecule: ribosomal RNA, 1092 nt
Filed under: Lactiplantibacillus plantarum subsp. plantarum
Lineage: Bacteria; Bacillati; Bacillota; Bacilli; Lactobacillales; Lactobacillaceae
Description: bacterial SSU rRNA
Rfam family: Bacterial small subunit ribosomal RNA
Source: RNAcentral
AAACGGGAGGCAGCAGUAGGGAAUCUUCCACAAUGGACGAAAGUCUGAUGGAGCAACGCCGCGUGAGUGAAGAAGGGUUUCGGCUCGUAAAACUCUGUUGUUAAAGAAGAACAUAUCUGAGAGUAACUGUUCAGGUAUUGACGGUAUUUAACCAGAAAGCCACGGCUAACUACGUGCCAGCAGCCGCGGUAAUACGUAGGUGGCAAGCGUUGUCCGGAUUUAUUGGGCGUAAAGCGAGCGCAGGCGGUUUUUUAAGUCUGAUGUGAAAGCCUUCGGCUCAACCGAAGAAGUGCAUCGGAAACUGGGAAACUUGAGUGCAGAAGAGGACAGUGGAACUCCAUGUGUAGCGGUGAAAUGCGUAGAUAUAUGGAAGAACACCAGUGGCGAAGGCGGCUGUCUGGUCUGUAACUGACGCUGAGGCUCGAAAGUAUGGGUAGCAAACAGGAUUAGAUACCCUGGUAGUCCAUACCGUAAACGAUGAAUGCUAAGUGUUGGAGGGUUUCCGCCCUUCAGUGCUGCAGCUAACGCAUUAAGCAUUCCGCCUGGGGAGUACGGCCGCAAGGCUGAAACUCAAAGGAAUUGACGGGGGCCCGCACAAGCGGUGGAGCAUGUGGUUUAAUUCGAAGCUACGCGAAGAACCUUACCAGGUCUUGACAUACUAUGCAAAUCUAAGAGAUUAGACGUUCCCUUCGGGACAUGGAUACAGUGGUGCAUGGUGUCGUCAGCUCGUGUCGUGAGAUGUUGGGUUAAGUCCCGCAACGAGCGCAACCCUUAUUAUCAGUUGCCAGCAUUAAGUUGGGCACUCUGGUGAGACUGCCGGUGACAAACCGGAGGAAGGUGGGGAUGACGUCAAAUCAUCAUGCCCCUUAUGACCUGGGCUACACACGUGCUACAAUGGAUGGUACAACGAGUUGCGAACUCGCGAGAGUAAGCUAAUCUCUUAAAGCCAUUCUCAGUUCGGAUUGUAGGCUGCAACUCGCCUACAUGAAGUCGGAAUCGCUAGUAAUCGCGGAUCAGCAUGCCGCGGUGAAUACGUUCCCGGGCCUUGUACACACCGCCCGUCACACCAUGAGAGUUUGUAACACCCAAAGC